AUGACCUCUUCAGGCAAAUACUUGAACAGGUUGGCUUUGUACUUGGUAAUGUAUUUGGGGUGUAUCUGGCUCAGAACUAUGAUGUUCCAAACAUUGCAAGAAAGUUUGAAGAAAUCAAGAAAGAUGUGGAAGCUAGGAAGAAGCCCCCAAAUGACAAAUGAUGUUGAUGAAGCCAUCUGUGUAAUAGGUGUAGAUGAUGUAGCUUUGCUUUUGGGACACAGGUACCAACCUGUAACAUCGUUUUUCUGGAUUCCCUCCAAGGCUAAUUGUGGAAGACCUUGACUGGAAGCAUCACCUCAUCCUUAGGACCUUCCAGUGCUUUCCGAAUAUUUGACCUUUGUUUUAACCUUACAUAAUAAGAAAACAGAUCCAGAGAGAGGAAUUGGACUUUUGUUCUCAGUGUAUUUACACAGUACUUACUUUAUAUUCAGUAUUAAUGUGUCAUGGGUGUAGAAUAAUGAAAUUCAUUUUGUUAUUCAAACCCAACAAACUAAUAGCCUGGCUGUAACAGCGGUUCAUGGAAGAAAUCAGAAGGGAACCGCAAACUAGUACCCAAAGAUUCUCCCCCUUCCCAAAUGUAUUUGGGAGCACAACUAUACAACCCUUUUGUACAACCUCUUUAUAAUGUACUAAAUUACUGAUUAAAACCAAUGAAUACCCUGCCCCCUGAAGUGAAUGCUUUCUGAUUUCAAACUUUGUGGGAUCUCACGCUGUGCAUAGUAAGUUGUCCUGUCCCAUGCAAAACAAAUGUGAAAUAUUGAGUCUAUCAGAGAAAGAGUUGUGAAAUACGGUCCACUCCAUAAGGUGGUAGCAUCAUCAUCUUAGAACUGCAGAGCUAGAAGGGACCUGUCCAGCCCCUCUCAAGGAGGCACAGUAGGAAAUUGAACUCCCAACCUUUGGCUCUGCAGCCAGAUAGCUAAAUCACUGUGGUAUCCAGCAGUUCUGUAUAGGUGAUAUGAUGAUCUUGCUUCACUCAUUUCUCUGUUUCUCUGGCAUUCUAUUCUAUAAAUUGGCUGUGAAAAUUCCUUUGUUGGGUUUAUCAUCUGAUCUAACAUUAGCAGAAGCCUGCACUGCAGUGUGAUUGUCAAAGUCUGCAUUAGUCCGGAUAAAAUUCUUAUUACCUUUGUCCCGUGUCCUUCUGUGCCACUGCCACGCAUAGAAAGGUAAUGUGAUAAUGAUCUAUUCAGACAAUGGUUCCCAACCUUGCGUGACCCAGAUAUUCUUGGAUGGCAAUUCCCAGAAGCCUUCUUCACCAGCUGUGAUGAAAAACAUGUGAGUUGCCCAAGUUUGGAAACCACUGAAUUAAGGCAUACCCAUGCUUGCAACUCUUUAUGUAUUUCCUUUUGUGUGCUAACAUGUUUUCUCUCUUCCAUCUCUUUAUGCCUGCUCCAUCCCAGUGAAAAUACUAAUACAGUGGUGCCUCGCUAGAUGAUUACCUCGCAAAAUGGUUAAUCCACAAUGAUUAUAUUUACAGUGGUGCCUCGCAUAACGAGCGCACCGUUUAACAAUGAAUCCGCAUAGCGGUUUCCAAUGGACAAAAAUUGCUUUGCGACGAUCGGUAAGCGUUUCGCUUACCGAUUUUCGCAUAGCAAUUUUUUAAAAACAGCUGAUCGGCGGUUCCAAAAUGGCUGCCGGACACCCAAAAUGGCCACGCGCAGCAUUUUCGCACCCUGCCCUCACUUACCGAGGGCACGAAAAUGGCGGCGCUAUGGAGAAACUUCGCUGAACGGUGAGUUUGGGCCCCAUUGGAACACAUUUCGCUAGAUGAUGUUUCAGUUCAUGCUUCACAAGACGUUUUUCUUUCGGGAUGGUUUUUCACAAGCCAACGAUUUUGACAGCUGAGUCUGCGCUUUGCAAAAUGGGUCUUUUAGGGACGGUUUUUUGCAAGACAGUGAUUUUGACAGCUGGGUCUGCGCUUCGCAAAACAGUUUUCCUAUGGGCGAUUUCCGAAGAUGAUGAUUUUUCCCCAUUGGAACGCAUUAAAUAGAUUUCAGUGCAUUCCAAUGGGGAACCGCAUUUCGCAAGACGAUGUUUUCACAAGACAGCAAUUUUUGCGGAACGAAUUAACAUCAUCUUGCGAGGCACCACUGUACUGAGAUUCAGCAGAAUGAGAGAGAUUGUGUUGUGGCAGGAUGGAGUUGUUGAAAGAGUAGUGGCAUUUUCUGACAAUGGAAAUCUACUCCCAAUAAGUUUCUGGUGAACUUUGUGACUGUAUAUACCUUUUAGAAAUGGAACAUUUCCUGUCAAAUAUUUGUGACAAAACUUUCCAUGAACUUUUUUUUGUCCGUAUCAGUACUAGCAAUGACCCAGGCAGAAAGAAGUUAGCUUCUUUGUGUCCUUGGCUCAAGCAGUGUGCCCACCACCUGGAUUCCCAUAUUUCCCUAGACAGACUUCCAAGGCAUCAGUGUUAAUAUUUUAUGAAUUGUAACCAGCAGGUGUGGUGAAUUAUCUUCUGAAACAGAUGAAUGGAAUUGGUAGUGCAAGUUGGCUGUUGCCAUUGUAAAUACUGGCAGUUUCCUCUGAGCUGUUGAAAACAUUUGGAUGACCACAAACUGUGCAUAUAUCCAGAAGGUGUAGAAUAGUUAGUAAACAUUAAAGCACUGGUAAUAAUUUAAGAAAAAGUGUCUUCACAGGGAGUUAAAUGUGAGGAUGCUGCCUUGAUUGAGUUUUCAAUUUUGAAUAUAGGCAGUAGUCCAGCCUAUAGAAACCAACUCCAUUCUCUGUUGGAUUUUGGUCCCAGAGGAAGACCACAGCUGCAAUGCAAGGAUAUCUGCAAGGGGGAUAUGAAGGCCUUAGGAAUGGACCUCAACAGAUGGGAAACCUUGACAUCUGAGCAUUCAGCCUAUAGGCAGGCGGUGUAUCACGGCCUCUCCCAAUUCGAAGAGACCCUUGUCCAGCAGGCCGAGGCAAAGAGGCAGUCACGAAACCAGCAAAAGCAGCUGGACAGGGGACAGAUUGGUUUUGUCUUCAGUGUCCCCCAUGCAGAGCACGUUUGGUCACUGCACACUUUUACACAUUUGAUGCUGGUUUUGAGCUUUUGUUCAUGAAAUAAAAGGGCUUAGCGUUAAGUCA
Molecule: long non-coding RNA, 3072 nt
Organism: Pogona vitticeps (central bearded dragon)
Lineage: Eukaryota; Metazoa; Chordata; Lepidosauria; Squamata; Agamidae
Source: Ensembl